RNAcentral lists this ribosomal RNA (487 nucleotides) under Streptococcus sp. oral taxon 071. RNAcentral's name for it is "bacterial SSU rRNA". It matches the Rfam family "Bacterial small subunit ribosomal RNA", at positions 28 to 496 of the family's 1533-position model. Lineage: Bacteria; Bacillati; Bacillota; Bacilli; Lactobacillales; Streptococcaceae. The record is from RNAcentral.
GACGAACGCUGGCCGGCGUGCCUAAUACAUGCAAGUAGAACGCUGAAGAGAGGAGCUUGCUCUUCUUGGAUGAGUUGCGAACGGGUGAGUAACGCGUAGGUAACCUGCCUGGUAGCGGGGGAUAACUAUUGGAAACGAUAGCUAAUACCGCAUGAAAUGGAUUAUCGCAUGAUAAUUCAUUGAAAGGUGCAAAUGCAUCACUACCAGAUGGACCUGCGUUGUAUUAGCUAGUUGGUGGGGUAACGGCUCACCAAGGCGACGAUACAUAGCCGACCUGAGAGGGUGAUCGGCCACACUGGGACUGAGACACGGCCCAGACUCCUACGGGAGGCAGCAGUAGGGAAUCUUCGGCAAUGGACGGAAGUCUGACCGAGCAACGCCGCGUGAGUGAAGAAGGUUUUCGGAUCGUAAAGCUCUGUUGUAAGAGAAGAACGAGUGUGAGAGUGGAAAGUUCACACUGUGACGGUAUCUUACCAGAAAGGGACGG